Molecule: ribosomal RNA, 516 nt
Filed under: Erimacrus isenbeckii
Lineage: Eukaryota; Metazoa; Arthropoda; Malacostraca; Decapoda; Atelecyclidae
Description: partial 16S rRNA
Rfam family: Bacterial large subunit ribosomal RNA
Source: RNAcentral
GUCUAUUUGAGGAUAUAUAUAGUCUAAUCUGCUCACUGACAUUUCUGUUUAAGAGCCGCGGUAUUUUGACCGUGCUAAGGUAGCAUAAUCAUUAGUUCUUUAAUUGGGAACUUGUAUGAAUGAUUGGACAAAAGAAAAGCUGUCUCUAUAAUAAUAAAAUAAAUUAACUUUUAAGUGAAAAGGCUUAAAUACUUCAAGGGGACGAUAAGACCCUAUAAAGCUUUACAUACAUUAUAAGUUUGAUUUAAGCAAAAUUUAAAAAUCUAAAUUAUAUAUUAUGUUUUGUUGGGGCGACAAAAAUAUAAGUAAUAAUAACUGUUUAAUAAAAAAACAAUAAUAAAUGGACAAUUAAAUGAUCCUUGUUUAAAGAUUAAAGACCAAGUUACUUUAGGGAUAACAGCGUUAUUUUUUUUGAGAGUUCAUAUCGAAAAAAAAGUUUGCGACCUCGAUGUUGAAUUAAAAUGUCUUUAUAGUGCAGCUGCUAUAAAAGAAGGUCUGUUCGACCUUUAAAUUUUU